This 393-nucleotide ribosomal RNA is filed under the name uncultured bacterium. RNAcentral describes it as "partial 16S ribosomal RNA". It matches the Rfam family "Bacterial small subunit ribosomal RNA", at positions 523 to 918 of the family's 1533-position model. The record is from RNAcentral.
AUACGGAAGGUCCGGGCGUUAUCCGGAUUUAUUGGGUUUAAAGGGAGCGCAGGCGGAGAUGCAAGCGUGACGUCAAAUUUCGGGGCUCAACCCCGUCUCGCGUCGCGAACUGCGUCCCUUGGUUGCGGGAAGGGGAGGCGGAACUCGUGGUGUAGCGGUGAAAUGCAUAGAUAUCACGAAGAACUCCGAUCGCGAAGGCAGCCUUCCGGCCCGUCAACGACGCUCAUGCUCGAAGGUGCGGGUAUCAAACAGGAUUAGAGACCCUGGUAGUCCGCACAGUAAACGAUGGACACCCGCGGUUUGGCCUGUAUGGCUGAGCCGCCAAGCGAAAGCGUUAAGUGUCCCACCUGGGGAGUACGCCGGCAACGGUGAAACUCAAAUGAAUUGACGGGG